UUAGGAAUAUUGGGCAAUGGAGGAAACUCUGACCCAGCAACGCCGCGUGAAGGAUGAAGGUUUUCGGAUUGUAAACUUCUGAUCUGUGGGAAAAAACAAAUGAUGGUACCACAGGAGAAAGCUCCGGCAAACUACGUGCCAGCAGCCGCGGUAAUACGUAGGGAGCAAGCGUUGUCCGGAAUGACUGGGCGUAAAGGGAGCGUAGGUGGCCUUUUAAGUGAAAUGUGAAAGCCCGGGGCUCAACUCCGGAAUGUCAUUUCAUACUGGAAGGCUGGAGUGCAGGAGAGGUAAGCGGAAUUCCUAGUGUAGCGGUAAAAUGCGUAGAUAUUAGGAAGAACACCAGAGGCGAAGGCGGCUUGCUGGACUGUAACUGACACUGAGGCUCGAAAGCGUGGGGAGCAAACAGG
Molecule: ribosomal RNA, 407 nt
Filed under: uncultured bacterium
Lineage: Bacteria
Description: bacterial SSU rRNA
Rfam family: Bacterial small subunit ribosomal RNA
Source: RNAcentral